This is a non-coding RNA of Schizosaccharomyces pombe (fission yeast), 340 nucleotides long. The record is from the annotation of a GenBank genome assembly. Lineage: Eukaryota; Fungi; Ascomycota; Schizosaccharomycetes; Schizosaccharomycetales; Schizosaccharomycetaceae.
AAUGUAUAAAGCAAGUUAUGUGAAUUUUUUCAUACAGCAUCAAGUCCUUUCUCAACGUCAUGUUUUAAAUGUUUUUGCCCUCUAACACGAAAAAAACCAUUCUAAGUAAGCAAAGCUUCAACUAGCCGAUUCGUGUGUUUGAUUUCUAUUAUGUUCCCACUGUCUCUACUUUGAGACUUCUCAUACACAAGCAGAAAACCAAUCGAUUACCAAUCUUAGUUUUCUUUUUCCAGCAGAAUUCGUAAAAAGUUAAUUUUACAAUAACUGAAUUAAAAAAUUGCAAUAUUUCUGUUAAUUAAAUCAGUUCGGCUAACUUUAAUCUUCCAUAAAGCAAGCAGAG